GAUGAAGAACGCAGCGAAAUGCGAUAAGUAAUGUGAAUUGCAGAAUUCCGUGAAUCAUCGAGUCUUUGAACGCACAUUGCGCCCCCUGGUAUUCCGGGGGGCAUGCCUGUCCGAGCGUCAUUGCUGCCCUCAAGCACGGCUUGUGUGUUGGGCCCCGUCCUCCGAUCCCGGGGGACGGGCCCGAAAGGCAGCGGCGGCACCGCGUCCGGUCCUCGAGCGUAUGGGGCUUUGUCACCCGCUCUGUAGGCCCGGCCGGCGCUUGCCGAUCAACCCAAAUUUUUAUCCAGGUUGACCUCGGAUCAGGUAGGGAUACCCGCUGAACUUAAGCAUAUCAAAAGCGGAGGA
This 345-nucleotide unclassified non-coding RNA is filed under the name soil metagenome. RNAcentral's name for it is "partial contains 5.8S ribosomal RNA, internal transcribed spacer 2, and large subunit ribosomal RNA". The stretch from base 1 to 120 matches the Rfam family "5.8S ribosomal RNA", at positions 35 to 154 of the family's 154-position model. The record is from RNAcentral.